CUCUCUUUUCCAAACACAACAAACUCACCGCCACACACUGCCCUUCCUGCGACCUUGAAUCCAGAGACCACCAGGCCCAAAAGCCACCUGGAGGAUUUCACUACUGUCUCUGUGGUGGUCAGAAGGGCUGAGAGCAGAACGCAGGAGCCAGAAGACAAUGUCAGAACCCCUUGGAACUGGAGUUACAGACAGUUCCUGGGCCUUGAACUCAUAUCGCGAAGCUUAGAAGUGAGCGCCCUUACAGGCUGAGCCACCUCUGGAUCCUACUGAACAUAUUUAAACAGUGUGUAUCUGCACUGGAGUCUUGGUGAGGAGUCACAGAGAGCAGCUCCUGCCAUUCCGUGCCUGCAGAGCCUCCUGGCAGCUGCUGGGAACUGGCAAUCCCCACCUUCCUCCUGGGCUGGUUUGAUAUGGGGUAAGGCCAGCACCCAGAUGUCCUCUCCUUGGGAAAAGCCCUGAUCCGCCCAUGUGCCUGGAUGACAAAGCCACACACAGCAGCUGCAGGAUAACAGUUACAGCUCUUCAGUCUGGGGAGGGCUGUGACCGUCUGAGGUUUCACAACAGGUCUGAAGGACAAGCUGAAGUAUGAACCCAGAUGCCUAGACUUGAGGUUCAAAGCAGCCUCAAGGCUCCAGUCUCCCAGGGACUUAAAGCUGUUUCUUGUCAACAACAUUGCCCAGAAGCAGCUCGGAUGCAGACUGCACGUAUACAGGUGCCCAGGACAGUCAGAGUCUUUCACAAACAUGAGCGCCUAUGUCAUUGUCAAACAGCACCGCGGUCCCUUAGUGCCUAGAAAGGAUGUCAAACCUGGGGAUGACAGCCCAGAGUCCCUUACGAACAGCAGUGUAAUGUAUGAACUAUCUAAGUAAAAA
Molecule: long non-coding RNA, 872 nt
Filed under: Mus musculus (house mouse)
Lineage: Eukaryota; Metazoa; Chordata; Mammalia; Rodentia; Muridae
Description: predicted gene 10804, transcript variant 2 (Gm10804)
Source: RNAcentral